UCCUGCAACUGGCAGCCAUCCCCACCCCCACACAGAUCCAGUUCUGAGCCCCUCUUAAAAACGCGGCUCUGGGGCAAGCAAAGGUGGACACGACCACGAGGGAACCAGCUGCUGUGACGGCGUCAGGGAUGGGGAAAGUGGAGGAAACACUGCGGGACCCGGUGAAGAAAACUGUCCAGCAAGGGCUGAGAGGAGGAUGCAGGAGCCUCCAGGCGCACCUGGGGCAGGAAGACAUGAAUGUGUGGAGGACCACGUCCCUGGCUCUGUGGAACACAAGCCCAGAAGGAAUUUUGCUUCUCACUGAAGUGUCCUCAGUGUGUAGAGGAAGGAGCCCACUGCAGGUACUUAAUGAAUAUUUAAGGAAUGGGUGGAAAGCACGGGUUGGACCAAAACUGGGAAUUGCAGGGCAGCGAGAUCAAAGGUGGAGGACAGGGGCGACAUAAGGGAGCUGCGAGAACACAGCUGGCCUGGCUGGCAUGGAAGACAUGGAGGUAGGGCAUCAGGAGGCUGGGUAGGCUGGGGGCUGGUCAAGGGACCAGCUAGUGGAUGCAGUGGGAGGAGUGGGAGACAGGAGCUCACAGUCACAGAGGGGAUGCUGGAGUCGGACGUUCUGGAGAAAGGGAAGUAUGAGUCGAUCAAUUAUGCAUUUUCUCAGAACAGUGGUACGUUUUCCUCAUCUUUCUAUCUUCUGUGUCCAGUACUGAGUUUGGCGCAUGCCAGACACUCAAGAAUCCAUCGGUGAAUGAAGAGAUGCAAUUGACCAGACCCUGCAGGCACACAGCUUUAUCCUGGUUCCUGUAUCUCCCAGGUGCUAUAACAACAUAUUAUUCCCAUGCCUUGUUUGUCUUCCAGUCCAUGUUUCUCUCCAUUCAUCGCCGCACAGGCACCUCCCUGCCUCAUACAGGAUCUUGGGGUGAUGCAAAUCAGGCUGCCUGAACUGGAGGUAGAAACACUUCUCUGAUGUUGCCCAGAAAUCGGUGGCAGAAUCAGGACUCAGCCACUACAUUGGUACAAGAGCAGGUUCAACUAGAUGUUCCCCAAAUUCCUCUCAAUUUCUGAUACUGUAAGAUUUAAGAUUUCAGACUCGUACUAUUCUAACAAUCUCUGCAGGACUUCCUAUUUUUGAAUUUUCCCUUUCCAAUUUCUGCUGUUGUUUUCCACUACUGAAUAGCUUCCUCCUUCGUUGUUCCUACAGUCUUGUGUAGAAGAUCCAGAUUAAUUUUCUACGUGUUUCCCCAUAGCCAUGAAACCCUCUGCUACGUUGUGGAUUCCAUGCCCCCAGCACAAGCUCUGGCACAUAGUAGGCACGCAAGACAAGCUUGCUGAAUAGCACUGAGCAACGUUCAACACAGGCACAGUGAUGGAAGAGGGGAGCUGAAAGCCAGGCCUUCUGCUCCAUGGACCUGAGCUACUUCCCUCCUCUCAAGGCAGUUCAAGUCCUGCCUCUGCAGAAGCCUCCCCACUCACCCCUCGCACUAUGUUCUUUCCCAGGAGAUGGGUGGAGUAGACAGGCUCAGCUUCCCAGAAAAGCAAGGUGGAGUCUUUAGUCAGCAGCAGAGAACAGACAUAAUCCCUGGGAUUUAUGCUGGCAAGAAACCUUGCAAAAAUGCAUGACCAAAAAGAGACAAAAUGAAACAAAAAUACCCUUUCACUCUGUUUCACUGCUGGCGAACUGAAUGGAGACCAAGUCGGUCAAUUUCAACAAUUUCAAUUCCACAUUACAUGAAGGAAAGCAGAAGUCAUAUUCAAAUGACCUGGAAAUAUAGACACUUUCUACUUUUUUUCAUAGAGUUUUGAUUGUAUUCUCCUUGUCCUUGUCUCCUUCUCCCUUCUGCCUCUCUUCCCUCCCCUCCCAUCCUCCUCACUCAGUUGGGUUCCAGGCUGACAUAGUAUGUAGCAAGUGUAUGACUUAAUGCAUUUCCUGGUUCUAGAAAUCUACCAAGAAUGGUGCCAGGAGUCCAGAUCAGAGGGCCCUGCAUCAUUUACCCUUUCCUCAAGAUAAGAAAUGGCCAGUAAGGCACGACUCUCUAGUUGUUCUUUUUCUACCCAGUCUUGGACUGGGCCAUGCUUCAGAAUUAAGUAUUGAGAAAGAGAAGAAUCACAACUUGCUUUGGCAGAACUGAGUCCAAAGCUGCUAAGGGAAAUCUUGCUCUUCUGACCCUAGAUUUCAAAAGAGAAGUGACUAGAAGUUAGGGUAUAGAAAUAAGUAGAAUUGGAAGUAGGAGUGACUUUCUCCAAUAGGAAUAUUUUGCCAGACUUUGGACCAUAGAGCAGAAACCUUAUGUCUUCAUAGAACAUCGGGUAUGUAAGAAAGGGUGCCAAUUGGUGACAACUAACUGCUGGUGGCAAGGGGAGAUGUGGAGGACGAGGCCCUGGAAUAGCAACUUUGGAAUAGCCAAUGCCCUUGACCAUGGCACCAGUAGCUCAGACAUUAGAAGACAUAUGAUGAUGGUGGCCCUUUCAGCAUAGAUACCAGUGCCCCUGAUAUCUCACGUGGGCUUUGGUAGCUCAUCGAUCAAGGUGGGAGUGUGAAGUUCAUGAAUGAACUGCGCUAAAGGACACAUGGGCCCAGUGAGCUAAAAUAUAGUUAAAAACCAACAUGGCAGACAUUACCAUCACCUGUUCCUUCCAUCACCAAGAUGACUGGGGUUGUCAACUGGCAUUGGCAAUUCCCAAAAUUAGUGAGGAGGAAUAUGAGGGGCUGGAGCCCAUGCAAAAUAGACAAUGAAGUAUCCAGAGGAAUGCCACGUUUGUAUGGUACUGCCACCCUACGUUCAUGCCCACGCAGGACGGACAGAGCGCUGGAAGCACGGCUGUGCUGGUUGAUGAGGACCACAGCAGGCCGACAGGGGUUGGGUGUCCCUGCCUCCUAGGUCGAUGAGGUGCAGACGCCGGCGCGAUCCUGUGAGGCGAUUCCCAAAGACUCCACUAGAUGGCAGUGUUGGUCAGCACGUGAGUCAGCAAAGGCUUCUCGACGCCCCUUUGAUGUCAUUUCACGGAUGAGAAGAUUGGCGGGGGUGGGAUCAGGGAGGCAGGGGGACUUGGUCCAAGAUCACCCGUGACUAGAACUGUCCCAGUCUCCCUUGCCUCAGACUUCUAAAGAACAUGCAAAUGAGCUCAGAUUCCCUUUCUAGUUAUUUUUAACACCCAGUCUCUCCUUUAUCACCCAGGAAGUGCCAGCCUGAGGCACAUGGUUGUUUUGAUUGAAUAGAGAGGUCGGGGGUCUUGGGUGGUAGACACUGUGGCCCCCCAUCCCCUACAAGAUGAAGUCCAAAUGCCGUAGGAUGGCUUGUGAGAUGUUUCUCAUGCUGCAGAAUUUUCUUACCUUUAUUACAGUCUCUAUGUAAAUUGAAGCUCGUUAAAUUCUGCCACGGUGCUUUUGGGGUUCGGAAAGCCUAUGCCUCCAACAGGCAUUACUUUUUGGGGAGGCAUCCCCUGACCCAUUUAGGGAGAUUCGAUCACUGUUGAUUUUGUGCCAUUCCUUUAUGUAAUCUCUCCUGGGAAGGACGUAGGUUGGAGGUGGUAUGAUGGCCAGGCACCCGAAACACCUACACAUCCUCCCCUAACGUCCCCUGUGAAAUCAGUCAGGACUCCUGCUUGUGACAGAAUCCAAUUAAAUCUACCGUAGACAAAAAGGAAAUGCUAUUGGCUUCAGGAAGGGCACCGCUGCAGCUGGGGAAGAUUGGACGAGCAGGAUUACCUGAUCUCUCUGGAACGUUCUUGCAGACUUAUCUGUUGCUUUGGGGGUGGAAGUCUAGCGUAGGAAAGAAUGAAUGACUUUUCUCUCUCGGAUAGGGGACAGGGGUCCUGAGUGCUUUAUGCUCACCUCUCACCAACUUCACUACCAGGAAGGAAAAGGCUGUUUCCAACCAGGAUUUGGUUUAACAAUAACAAGGACUGAUACUCUGGAAAGAUGAGCACAUGAUCUAAACAGGGCCAGUCAUUGCUAUUGCUCUGAUUGGUCUGUCUUGGGUCAUGUGCCCGCCCUAUAGACUGCGACUGAGAAUCUCCAACUCAAAUUGCAUGAUUGGAGUGAGGAAGUCGAAUUUUCCAAAAGGAAGGUGCUCUUACCGAAAGAAAAAGAGAGUUGGGAGGGGAAAGGGUGCUGGGCAAGCAGCAAUGAAUGUCCAAUCUCCUGCUCCCCAGGCACCUAAAGGAUGCAUUUAUAAAAAAUAAAAGCAAUUUUUAAAAAAAAUG
This is a long non-coding RNA of Lemur catta (Ring-tailed lemur), 4197 nucleotides long. RefSeq lists it as uncharacterized. The record is from RefSeq and is a predicted model, not a curated record. The transcript has 4 exons. NCBI's taxonomy places the organism in Eukaryota, Metazoa, Chordata, Mammalia, Primates, Lemuridae.